UACCUGCGGGCGCAGCAGUGAGGAAUAUUGGUCAAUGGGCGAGAGCCUGGACCAGCCAAGUCGCGUGAGGGAGUACUGCCCUAUGGGUUGUAAACCUCUUUUGUCGGGGAGCAAAAGCCGGACGUGUCCGGCUGUGAGAGUACCCGAAGAAAAAGCAUCGGCUAACUCCGUGCCAGCAGCCGCGGUAAUCCGGAGGAUGCGAGCGUUAUCCGGAUUUAUUGGGUUUAAAGGGUGCGCAGGCGGUUUUUUAAGUCAGCGGUCAAAUCGUGGGGCUCAACCCCAUCCAGCCGUUGAAACUGGGGAUU
Molecule: ribosomal RNA, 305 nt
Filed under: uncultured bacterium
Lineage: Bacteria
Description: bacterial SSU rRNA
Rfam family: Bacterial small subunit ribosomal RNA
Source: RNAcentral